GGGGCGGUAGCUCAGCCUGGGAGAGCACACGGCUGAAGACCGUGGUGUCACGGAUUCAAAUUCCGUCCGCCCCA
Candidatus Woesearchaeota archaeon CG1_02_57_44 is the source of this 74-nucleotide non-coding RNA. NCBI's taxonomy places the organism in Archaea, Nanobdellati, Candidatus Woesearchaeota. The record is from Rfam.